This is a long non-coding RNA of Oncorhynchus masou masou (cherry salmon), 2263 nucleotides long. RefSeq lists it as uncharacterized. The record is from RefSeq and is a predicted model, not a curated record. NCBI's taxonomy places the organism in Eukaryota, Metazoa, Chordata, Actinopteri, Salmoniformes, Salmonidae. The transcript is spliced from 3 exons.
AGGGGUUGAUGUAAGGCUUUUUACGCGCAGCUGUAUUUCGGAAAGUUGUAGUUUCAAAGAUUUCAUUGAAGAUAUCCUGGCGAAUACUUCAUGUAAAGUGAAGUCAAACUCUUAAAGUAAAAGUGAAAGUGAGACAGAUUUUUUGUUUGAGGAAUCUUGUGUUGUGAUGUUAACGAAUUCAAAUGAACUGAGGAGCUGUUUCUGCAAGGACAGGACGUACUUCUGGACGGUGAUAGCGACUCCGACUGGGAGGCCCCGGUGCCAAGCUGCCCGCUCUACCUGUGCCCCCAGUGGUGUUCAUAUGCCACAGUUCAUUACUGCAGGCAUAACUGUGCCUCAGAGCCAAAAGGGGACAGCGUGGAGGUGUCGUUGUGUUCUGUGUCGCAUGAAAUGCACCACUUGUUCAGUUUGCCUCUGCUUUACAUCAGAAAGAGACUGCUAUGGGACAUGGCACAGGCUGCAAAAUAUUAUGACGAGGACUUCCAAGGGGACCUGAGCCCUAGGACCAUGCCUCAGGACUACCUAGCAUGAUGACUCCUUGCUGUCCCCAGUCCACCUGGCUGUGCUGCUGCUCCAGUUUCAACUGUUCUGCCUGCGGCUAUGGAAUCCUGACCUGUUCACCAGACGUGCUACCUGUCCCAGACCUGCUGUUUUCAACACUCUAGAGACAGCAGGAGCGGUAGAGAGACUCUCAAUGAUUGGCAAUGAAAAGCCAACUGACAUUUAGUCCUGAGGUGCUGACUCGUUGCACCCUCGACAACUACUGUGAUUAUUAUUAUUUGACCCUGCUGGUCAUUUAUGAACAUUUGAAUAUCUUGGCCAUGUUCUGUUAUAAUCUCCACCCUGCACAGCCAGAAGAGGACUGGCCACCUCUCAUAUCCUGGUUCCUCUCUAGGUUUCUUCCUAGUUUUUGGCCUUUCUAGUGAGUUUUUCCUAGCCAACGUGCUUCAAAACCUGCAUUGCUUGCUGUUUGGGGUUUUAGGCUUGGUUUCUGUACAGCACUUUGAGAUAUCAGCUGAUGUAUGAAGGGCUAUAUAAAUCAAUUUGAUUUGAUUUGAUUUCCAGUUGCUCUGAUAAAAGUAGUAUAGGGGCCACAGGGUGAGUGUACACUUAAGGUUUAGAUCACUUCUGCAGCUUCUAGCGGCUGCACUAGCUCCAAUUAGAGCCUAGAGUGUGUUAAGACUACAUGGGUGUGUUAAGUCUAAAUGGGUGUGUUAAGACUACAUGGGUGUGUUAAGACUACAUGGGUGUGUUAAGACUACAUGGGUGUGUUAAGUCUAAAUGGGUGUGUUAAGACUACAUGGGUGUGUUAAGACCACAUGGGUGUGUUAAGUCUAAAUGGGUGUGUUAAGACUACAUGGGUGUGUUAAGACCACAUGGGUGUGUUAAGACUGCAUGGUUGGGUUUAUGAAUGCACCUAUGGACGACUAUGUAGAUGUGUCUGUACAUAUAUUUUAGUUUAUGAGUGUUUCAUAUCCACUCAGUGGCCAGUUUAUUGGUUUUCCGGGUUGGACACUCCUCCAGAACAGCCUGAAUUAGUCGGGGCAUGUAAACGUUGCUCAGUUGGUAUCCAAUGAACUACCGUGUGCCAGACAAACAUCCCCCACAUUAUUACACCACGGACACAUGCCUGUACCGUUGAAACCAGGACCCAUGCUGCAUACGCCAAAUCCUGACUGCCAUCAGCACGACGCAACAGGAACCCAGGUUGUGUUUUGAACCAGGAAAUGUUUUUCCACUCCUCAGUUGUCCGGUGUUGGUGAUGGCGUUCCCAUUGGAGCCGGUUCUUCUUCUUGGUUUUAGCUGAUAGGAGUAGAACCCGGUGUGGUCGUCUGCUACAGAGAACAACGAGGUGUGUACUCCGAGAUGCCGUUCUGCACACCACCGUUCGACCUCUCAUCGUCGAGCUGUUUUCCCCCCACAGGACUGCCGCCGACUGUAUGCCUGGCACCUACGAUCACACCAAAGUGACUGAAGGUCACUUGUUUUGACCAUUCUAACAUUCAAUGGAACAGUGACUGAAGGCCUCUAUACCUGUCUGCCUGAUUAACAUAGCAAGUCACGUCCACCUCACUCACUGUCUCUAGGAGCAACCAUUUUCGUGAAACCGGGAACUGAGUGUAUAUCCGUACUUGUGAGGAGGCCCCUGACUGAAUGAGCAGCAGCCCUGUGGUGUGUAGUGACUGAAGCUACCCUACCUCUGUACGGUGGCUCAGCCCUGUGGUGUGUAGUGACUGAAGCUUCCCUACCUCUGUAUGGUGGC